UGGGCGUAAAGAGCUCGUAGGCGGUUUGUCGCGUCUGCCGUGAAAGUCCGGGGCUCAACUCCGGAUCUGCGGUGGGUACGGGCAGACUAGAGUGAUGUAGGGGAGACUGGAAUUCCUGGUGUAGCGGUGAAAUGCGCAGAUAUCAGGAGGAACACCGAUGGCGAAGGCAGGUCUCUGGGCAUUAACUGACGCUGAGGAGCGAAAGCAUGGGGAGCGAACAGGAUUAGAUACCCUGGUAGUCCAUGCCGUAAACGUUGGGCACUAGGUGUGGGGGACAUUCCACGUUUUCCGCGCCGUAGCUAACGCAUUAAGUGCCCCGCCUGGGGAGUACGGCCGCAAGGCUAAAACUCAAAGGAAUUGACGGGGGCCCGCACAAGCGGCGGAGCAUGCGGAUUAAUUCGAUGCAACGCGAAGAACCUUACCAAGGCUUGACAUGGGCCGGACCGGGCUGGAAACAGUCCUUCCCCUUUGGGGCCGGUUCACAGGUGGUGCAUGGUUGUCGUCAGCUCGUGUCGUGAGAUGUUGGGUUAAGUCCCGCAACGAGCGCAACCCUCGUUCCAUGUUGCCAGCGCGUAAUGGCGGGGACUCAUGGGAGACUGCCGGGGUCAACUCGGAGGAAGGUGGGGACGACGUCAAAUCAUCAUGCCCCUUAUGUCUUGGGCUUCACGCAUGCUACAAUGGCCGGUACAAAGGGUUGCGAUACUGUGAGGUGGAGCUAAUCCCAAAAAGCCGGUCUCAGUUCGGAUUGGGGUCUGCAACUCGACCCCAUGAAGUCGGAGUCGCUAGUAAUCGCAGAUCAGCAACGCUGCGGUGAAUACGUUCCCGGGCCUUGUACACACCGCCCGUCAAGUCACGAAAGUUGGUAACACCCGAAGCCGGUGGCCUAACCCCUUGUGGGAGGGAGCUGUCGAAGGUGGGACUGGCGAUUGGGAC
Molecule: ribosomal RNA, 933 nt
Filed under: Arthrobacter sp.
Lineage: Bacteria; Bacillati; Actinomycetota; Actinomycetes; Micrococcales; Micrococcaceae
Description: bacterial SSU rRNA
Rfam family: Bacterial small subunit ribosomal RNA
Source: RNAcentral